Molecule: long non-coding RNA, 1974 nt
Filed under: Salvia miltiorrhiza (redroot sage)
Lineage: Eukaryota; Viridiplantae; Streptophyta; Magnoliopsida; Lamiales; Lamiaceae
Description: long non-coding RNA (SMIL_LNC006099)
Source: RNAcentral
GGCAGCAAUGUUGCACACUUAAAGAACAUAAUAAAUAUAAAAUGUUGUCAAUUGAUAGGAAAUAGAAGAAUCUGUCCAAAUGAAAAAGAUUGAAAUACCCAUCCAAAUUUUUUAUUACAGGAGAAGUUGUAACUAAACCCUACAAAAAGGAUCCCUGACCCUGGUUGGUUUAGCAUCCAACCUCUCAUAUAAGUGGGCAUCAUAGGAUCGCCCAGCUCGUUUCUGUUGGUCUGAUGUAACUGUUCCAUGAGAAAAAUUGUUAGGCUACUCUCUUGAGAAAAUUUUCAGGACAUACAAUGCUUAAUACAGGAUGAUAGAUGUUUAAACUUAAAAAGUAUAAAGAGCAAAAUCUGCACCAAGGGCAGAACAAAACUUGUUGUAUAGCCAUCAGAGCUGGGUCGAAUUGAUCACCCAAUAUCCAUGAGCAUCACUUCUUUCUUACAAAAUCACUUAAUAUGCCCACUCCUCUAGCUUAACAAAAUGUAUUGUUACUCAUGCGAGGGAUUAGUGAGUAUGGAGUUACUUUAAUGGUUCAGAGAUUAUAUAAAACCAUCUGUACUCUAAAAAAGGAGCUGUAUUAUGCUUAUGCAAGUCGACUAAUGGUAUUAGAGUGUGAUUUCAACUUGCUAUGCAAAAGCUAUAGUGCCUGAACUUAAAAGGCAAGGCUCCAGAAACAUCACAUAUUACUAGGAACAUUUUAGAGAUGUCUUGUUAACAUCCAAUGAGCCUAUUCAGAGUAGCAAGAGAAACCAACAAAUGAAACAGGGAACUCAUACCAGGCUCUGCUUGAACCUCUCGACAAACUCACUAUUCUUAAUUCCCCCAAAAUCUCACGGUAGCCAAAAACCCAUCGGUCAGCCCACCAAUAAAAAUAACUUGCUGUUUGCAAUCACCUGUUUUGAAAGCAACCUGUGCCAAGAGAAAAUAAGAACGAAGGCGAUAUGAAUGAAAUAGUGGUCUUAAGACAAUCAUUAUGAAAUACGAGCACAAAAACAAAUUUGAUAGUGCGCAUAACAAAAGAAUUGAAGUCACUAAAUCAUAAAGAUUUAAGUCUACUUCUUGUUGAUAUAGCAUAUAGCUCUUGAUGCAUCAUACAAAACAUAGAAACCUAGCAUAUUUCUUCGUCUCUCAUAAUUUGAGCAUCUUAUCUAUCACUCCAACAAGGAGAGAGUGUAAGAAACAACAAAGGCACACUAAACCCUUUUAUCCAGUUAUCCGCAGCUUGCAACAGAGAAUUAGCCAAUAAACAACAAAGGCACACUAAACCCUUUUAUCUAUCACCCUUUCAAGUUUAGCCAGUUAUCCGCAGCUUGCAACAGAGAAUUAGCCAGCUGCCGCUGAUUUUGCUUUCCAUUCAGGCCUUCUUCUAAGUUCUACAAGACUAAUCAAUCUACCUAGACAGAAACAAAAUACUGAUUAAUCACCAGAGAAACUUAGAAUUGUGGCAAAUAAACACAUGCAAAAAGUUGAAUAAGAGAAUUCCCAGAAAGUUAAGAUAGAAAUUUCCUGUUCGUUGACUAGAAAAGCACACAUUAAACCCAUACACGAGUUUCAGAAAAUCAUCAACCAAUAUUCAAUUCAAACUACCACCAAAAUAAGCAAACCGCCAGACCAACGAUUCAGAACAUCAAAGUGUAAAUUGCAAAGAGAGGCAUCAAAACGAAAGCCGAGAUCACCACCUUCGAAAUACUAACGAGCUAACGGCUGGAACGCUACACAAUCAAAAACCCUCGAGCAAAAUUGGAUCUUUAGAGAGAGAAAGGAGGGAUUGAGGAAAUCGGAGUAGGUGAGGACGGCAGAGAGAAGGAGAAUUGGCGAAAAAGGCACCUCCACCACGGCGAUGCACUCAAGAAGACGAAGAAGGACCAAUUUAUUGGAAACAAAUUCAUUAUAAAAUAAGAAAUUCAAACAUAAAACACCAUUUUGAACAAAAUACAAAAAUACAAUAAUUCAGAAACUAUUUUUCAGACUCAC